ACAAUCAUCCGCCUGAGAACUACGAGCACAAACGCUUAAAACUCUAAGGACUUGGCGGUGCUCUAAACCCACCUAGAGGAGCCUGUUCUAUAAUCGAUAACCCACGAUUCACCCGACCACUUCUUGCCAAAACAGCCUAUAUACCGCCGUCGCCAGCCCACCUCGUGAGAACAUAACAGUGGGCCCAACAGCCUACAGCCCACUAACAAGACAGGUCGAGGUAUAGCCUAUGAAGUGGAAGAAAUGGGCUACAUUUUCUAAAAUAGAAAACCCAACGAAAAGGGACCUGAAACCUGUCCCCAGAAGGCGGAUUUAGCAGUAAAGUAGGAUGACC
RNAcentral lists this ribosomal RNA (334 nucleotides) under Ara severus (chestnut-fronted macaw). RNAcentral's name for it is "partial 12S ribosomal RNA". It matches the Rfam family "Bacterial small subunit ribosomal RNA", at positions 861 to 1353 of the family's 1533-position model. The record is from RNAcentral. Lineage: Eukaryota; Metazoa; Chordata; Aves; Psittaciformes; Psittacidae.